AUUGUCAAGUCGGAUGUGAAAUCCCCGGGCUCAACCUGGGAACUGCUUCGAAACGGCUGGCGAGAGUCUUGUAGAGGGGGGUAGAAUUUCAGGUGUAGCGGUGAAAUGCGUAGAGAUCUGGAGGAAUACCGGUGGCGAAGGCGGCCCCCGGGAAAAAGACUGACGCUCAGGUGCGAAAGGGUGGGGAGCAAACAGGAUUAGAUACCCUGGUAGUCCACGCCGUAAACGAUGUCGACUUGGAGGUUGUGCCCUUGAGGCGUGGCUUCCGGAGCUAACGCGUUAAGUCGACCGCCUGGGGAGUACGGCCGCAAGGUUAAAACUCAAAUGAAUUGACGGGGGCCCGCACAAGCGGUGGAGCAUGUGGUUUAAUUCGAUGCAACGCGAAGAACCUUACCUACUCUUGACAUCCAGAGAACUUAGCAGAGAUGCUUUGGUGCCUUCGGGAACUUUGAGACAGGUGCUGCAUGGCUGUCGUCAGCUAGUGUUGUGAAAUGUUGGGUUAAGUCCUANACAGAUUAUAAUCCUGCCUCAGUAUAAAGCCUCGUGUGCAUGGAACACGAGCAUAACAGGAGCCUUAUAAAAUUGAUCAAGGUAGGGACUCCACCCUGUCAGCCGCACCGGUGCGUGUUCGGCUACGUAGCAAGUUGGUACGCACUGUUACAGAUCUGCGACAUCACACCAUUCAGCAGCCCUGGCAGGUGGAAUGUAGUUAGCCCGUCCUUGGCAAUGCUAUAAAAAAGCAUGGGCUGGGACUUGUAAUUUUAUGCUGCAUGCCAGACCGAAGGAGUUUGCCGUCUUUGGACACACUGGCCGUCAAACCAACGAGCCGGUUGCACAAGCGGGGGGUAGCCAAACGUUCGUGAUUUCUGCUGUCGCUCCGUGAUGCAGAAAGGAGAAGUUAUAAUC
This 906-nucleotide ribosomal RNA is filed under the name Klebsiella aerogenes. RNAcentral's name for it is "bacterial SSU rRNA". It matches the Rfam family "Bacterial small subunit ribosomal RNA", at positions 579 to 1533 of the family's 1533-position model. Lineage: Bacteria; Pseudomonadati; Pseudomonadota; Gammaproteobacteria; Enterobacterales; Enterobacteriaceae. The record is from RNAcentral.